GAUGAACGCUGGCGGCGUGCCUAAUACAUGCAAGUCGAGCGAACAGACGAGGAUCUUGCUCCUUUGACGUUAGCGGCGGACGGGUGAGUAACACGUGGGUAACCUACCUAUAAGACUGGGAUAACUUCGGGAAACCGGAGCUAAUACCGGAUAAUAUUUCGAACCGCAUGGUUCGAUAGUGAAAGAUUGCUUUGCUAUCACUUAUAGAUCUACCUGCGCCGUAUUAGCUAGUUGGUAAGGUAACGACUUACCAAGGCAACGAUACGUAGCCGACCUGAGAGGUGGAUCGGCCACACUGGAACUGAGACACGGUCCAGACUCCUACGGGAGGCAGCAGUAGGGAAUCUUCCGCAAUGGGCGAAAGCCUGACGGAGCAACGCGGCGUGAGUGAUGAAGGUCUUCGGAUCGUAAAACUCUGUUAUUAGGGAAGAACAACCGUGUAAGUAACUGUGCACGUCUUGACGGUACCUAAUCAGAAAGCCACGGCUAACUACGUG
This 497-nucleotide ribosomal RNA is filed under the name uncultured bacterium. Its description in RNAcentral is "partial 16S ribosomal RNA". It matches the Rfam family "Bacterial small subunit ribosomal RNA", at positions 28 to 507 of the family's 1533-position model. The record is from RNAcentral.